GGUUUAGAAAAUGAAUUCAUAAGACAAACUAAUGAGAAGCUUGCAAACAAACUGCCUGCUUGAUCCAUCAACUUCUUCUGCAAUCUACUGUAGAUUCGGUCAUUUCCAACACAUAAAAAGAUAUUCUUCCUUGGGCUCCACAUUUAAAGUCAUAAAACAAGCCAUUACAGAUAUAUCAGUGGGUGGCUCGCCAGAUGCUUGAACCUCACUUGCCUCUUUGGUCUUUGCGCAUCGUGUGUCACUAUCUAAUUCUGCUUCCUUGGGUGAGAGCAGCUGCCUGGCUUCUGCUGGCUGGUAUGCUGAUGCCACUUGAAAGGAGCAACAGAAAAUGACUUUUCCUCUUCGGGGGGGCUCGUAGCAGCUGGUGAGGUUGCACGUUGUGAAAGUUGAAAAGUGCAUCUGCUCUCCGAAGCAUUAUUAAUAUGAAACACACCCAUAUACAUAUAUAUGAAUGUUUUUUCCUCUCUGUAUUCUGCAGAAGGUUGCUGACACUUCAAUACCUUGGUGAUGCCUGCUCGAUGUGGAGAACGUGGCUGGAAUCACAAUGUGUGCUCUACCUGUGUGAAGUAAUAGAAGCACCACCAUUGCUGGUCUACAGGGAGAUGCUCCACAUGUCCAUUUGAUGUGGAUUUCCGACAGGAGAGGUGGUCUUGAGAUUUGGAGGGCUUCGACCUAGAUCAUGUGCUUGGCAAAACCCAGCGUGUGUCCUUCACAUUGUCCUUGGUCUUUGGCUCUCCUGAUCAGACAACCCGGCGGCGGUCCGAAUCUCAGUGCUUUCAGCUUGUCGCUGGCCUUGGUGAAGUAGUUCUUUAGCUCCUCCACGGGACCCUCUCCAGAGAAGAGCCGGUCCACGUACGCCUGGGCGUACUGAUGUGAAGUGAUCAGGUCGGGGUCGAGCGAGGAUGACGAAGCUGUAACAUGGAGGUUAAGUGCUGUGAAAGAAAAAUGGAAGUCAUGUUCAUGCUAAUGCAAAGAAAGUUUUUGGAACCAGAAUAUAAAGUGGAUUUUUUUUUUUUUUUUACUACCAGGUAUUGCACUAGUCACUUGUGAUUGAUUGUAGUAGGGCGGCGAGAGUGACACUGACGCUCUUUCCCGUUUCCCUGUCGGUGAGCGUCAGCCCCGUCAUGGAUCCUUCAUCGUGCAAUUCGCACGACAACGCAGACAUGACUCCUCGACAUUUCACCACACACACCGUAUUGAUCUUAUAACACCUAUAAAAGACACAGGAGAAUAUGACUGUCUUGUGAUUCCCAAUUUGUACUCCAACAAGAUGCCAUGUUGUUACAUAUUGAUAAUUCAGUCAUUCUUUUGCGUUCCACUAGAGGGAGCCCCUGUUUCUAUGGAAAGCUGCUUCGUUUAUUGUGUGUGAAUUGGCUUUUGGUUUCACCUGUAAGCGGGUAGGAUCUGGGCCAGGUCUUCCUUGUAUUGGUCCAGCACAGCUCUUGCUGACAGGGGCUCCCCCAGCCCCUCCAGAACAGCCAGCAACUCACUGUGAGUCGCAAUCUCCGCCCACCAGGGAGAUUUUCAGCUGGGUCAGCGAGAAGCUGAGCUGGGCCUCCAUUCUCAGAGAGUCCUGCACGAGUCGGGAUUUAUCAGCCAAGUUGAUCCUGCAGCGUUUCAACCCGGAUGAGGACAUGACAAGCAGGUCCAUUACCAUACUGACAGCCAGUCCCAGCAGCCCGGCCAGACGGGGCUCGUCCGAGAAUGAUGAGAGUCGUCCAAUCAGAUCCUUCAGACUCCUGGGUCUUCAUUGUGAUUGGCCAACAGCAGGGGGUUCACUACUCUGAGAUGACGCACAGCUCCACCCUCCAGCAUGGUCCGGUACAGAAGGUUACCAAUGGCAUGUUUCACCGCAGAGAUCUCCUCUUCUGAUGACAGCAGCUGGCCCAUGUUGUUGUCUGGAACGGCUAAGAUGCUAAGCUAACACAGAGAAGACUGCAGCAUCACUGUCACGUUUGAAGUUUUGUGUGUGGCCUCUUCAUAGCUUCCAGUCCCACUUCCUUUUCCUGCUGCAGGAAAGUUUCUCCAAGAGUAGACUGCAGUAGAAUUUAGCUGAGCUGUAAAUAAAGACCUCCCCCUAGCCACGGGGAGCAGGACUUGUCAUCGUGGGCCCUUUAAAGCCUCUGACCCACCAAAGGCCCGCUGACCUCAUUUACCUCCAAAGACUAGCACAUUUUUACAAGUGCUAUCUUGAAGUGGAUGCAAAUGAAACUAAUCCUCUUCGUGCUAAAGGGGUAGAAGGAGCCAGCGGCGCCGUGGGAUUGGAAGUAAUAGCUACAAACUGACAAAUAGGCCAAGGGCUUUUAUUGAGCUAAAUGGAACAGAGAGAGACCUUGAUGGUGGUGGUGGUUUUUUUUCUUUUCUCGACAUAAAAUAUGGGACAAGAGGGUGUGGAAAUUUAGAUGGCGUCGGAAAUGUUCUUUGUUAUCUGGGACAAGGGCUUGAUAGAGUGAUAUCCUUUUUGUCUGCAACUCAAGUUACUGCAUGUCCAAUUUUUAGCGAAUUUCCACUUAUCAAAGGACAAAAUGUCUUUUGAGAGCAAUGUGCUAUUAUUUUUCUCAGUAUUGCGACCCAAAAAUUUCAGAUUUUCUGCUAAGAGACUUCUUCAAAUCACUUAUUAUGCAAAUAAUUACAAUUCCCAUCACCAAAUAAUACACCUGACACUAGCCAACAGGUAUAAAUGAUUUUUUUUUUGUGCAAAAGCAUGUUUCCAAUCCUUUUCCCUUCUCAUCUGCACACUUUUCGAACAAUGCUCCUCCCUCAUUCACAUGA
Long non-coding RNA from Syngnathus typhle (broad-nosed pipefish), 2772 nucleotides. RefSeq lists it as uncharacterized. The transcript is spliced from 8 exons. Lineage: Eukaryota; Metazoa; Chordata; Actinopteri; Syngnathiformes; Syngnathidae. The record is from RefSeq and is a predicted model, not a curated record.